GUGAUUAUCCAGCCCGCAGGUGCCCCAAAGGGGAGAAUAGGGAAUCAGGUGAAAGUCCUGAGCGGUCUCCGCCACUGUAACCGGGAAGCAGCCCUGCAAUGCCACCGCCAGGGAAGGCGUGGGGCAGGCGAUGAUCCGGGAGCCAGGAUACCUGCCUGCGGGUGCCUUUGACC
This 173-nucleotide non-coding RNA is filed under the name Desulfofundulus kuznetsovii. Lineage: Bacteria; Bacillati; Bacillota; Clostridia; Eubacteriales; Peptococcaceae. The record is from RNAcentral.